GAUGGUGUAGCUCAGUAGGAUAGAAGCAGCAGCCUUCUAAGCUGUCGGUCGGUGGUUCGAAUCCAUCCACCAUCGCCA
This 78-nucleotide transfer RNA is filed under the name Escherichia coli. Its description in RNAcentral is "tRNA-Arg". It matches the Rfam family "tRNA". Rfam says of the family: Transfer RNA (tRNA) molecules are approximately 80 nucleotides in length. Their secondary structure includes four short double-helical elements and three loops (D, anti-codon, and T loops). Further hydrogen bonds mediate the characteristic L-shaped molecular structure. tRNAs have two regions of fundamental functional importance: the anti-codon, which is responsible for specific mRNA codon recognition, and the 3' end, to which the tRNAs corresponding amino acid is attached (by aminoacyl-tRNA synthetases). tRNAs cope with the degeneracy of the genetic code in two manners: having more than one tRNA (with a specific anti-codon) for a particular amino acid; and 'wobble' base-pairing, i.e. permitting non-standard base-pairing at the 3rd anti-codon position. Lineage: Bacteria; Pseudomonadati; Pseudomonadota; Gammaproteobacteria; Enterobacterales; Enterobacteriaceae. RNAcentral also lists the same sequence under 1 other name. The record is from RNAcentral.